This is a long non-coding RNA of Tribolium castaneum (red flour beetle), 3823 nucleotides long. RefSeq lists it as uncharacterized. NCBI's taxonomy places the organism in Eukaryota, Metazoa, Arthropoda, Insecta, Coleoptera, Tenebrionidae. The transcript is spliced from 2 exons. The record is from RefSeq and is a predicted model, not a curated record.
AUUUUGACAAGGCUAAAUUUUUGCCGAUAUUUUCCGAACGGUUAGUCUGAGCGACUUGAUUCUUGCAAAUUUGGAUUCCGCCGGUCAUUCUAAGUAGAGUAUAGAAUGUUACUUCUGGGCCAGAACAUUUGGCGUCUUAAAAAACAAGUCAGAACCUUACAAAUUUAGCUGUUUGGCCAAAAGCAAACAACCGAAUAGGGCCUAAAACCUCUCAAAAAUCAUUAAUUUUUAUCCACCCCAAAAGUUCCCAAAUAUGUGUAGGCCACUAAAAGUUGGGCACACGAAAAACAGGGUAGAAUCCUACAAAUUUACUGUUUUCCCAAAAGUAACCAUCCGAAAAAGAUGUAAAAAACUUACAAAAUGCCUUGAUUUUAGACACUCCAAAAAUAGCUUUUCAUUUCUGGACCAAGCCAAUUGGCGCAUGCAAAAAUCAAGAAAAAUUACCUCAAAACCAUUGUCAAAAUGUCUAGAUUUCACACACCUCAAAACAGCUUUUCAUUUCUGGACCAAACCUAUUGGCGCAUGGAAAAAAUCAAUGAAAUACAACUUAAAGCGACUUAAAAUUUUCGACACUCCAAGUAAAAUUACUUUAAAAACCAGGAAAAACCUUUAUAAAUUCCCUAGUUUUUAGAUACCCCAAAAAUAUAGCUUUUCAUUUCUGGACCAAGCCAAUUGGCGCAUGGCAAAGGUGUUAAAAAUUAUUACCAAAUACAUUUUGCAUACCCCAACUGUAUUCAACUAUUAUACGCACAUAAAAGAGAUACACGUAAUACGCUCGAUCGUGCAGCGCUUAAUUUAAUAACGAAUAACGCAUUUAGACUUUUGAGCGUUUUUAUUAAACAGAAGAGGGUCGAUGGUCUAGCGUUGGUAUCCUUCAAAAAUAUGCUGACACAUCGGCCUACUCGUUUAAAAAACGGAUUAACUGUAAAAGCAUUUUUUUUCGUUAUAGAAAUUGUUCUUAUUCUUAUUGUAGUAUUCAACGAUAGGCAACCAACAAUAUCAUUAUUGUUACGUAAUUAUAAUUUGUUUUUGUAACACAACUUACUAAAUUUGAAGUUUUUUUUUUAAUUUUGUAAUUGUGAUACUAAAAAGGUUAUUAUAAAAAUAUUUAACCUUUAAGUUUAAUUCAAAACGAUAAUAUGGAUGGGGCCAUCUAGACCAGGAGCGCGCGCGGCGCUGUUUCGGUUGAUAAUUCAGUUUGCCUUUUUACUUGUCUGUUGCGUUGACCGUUGACAGUUGACAGUUAUGACACCGCAGCAGCAACUAACAAUUUUCAGUGCAUUACACGUUAUUCUACGGUGCAUCAUAGGUGUUUAAUCGUUGUUAAUAGAUUGCUUAUACCAACAUUACCCAGAUGGAUUACUUUGAAUCGGUCAGAUCAAACAUUGGACAGGAAAGCUUCAACCUCGUUCAGUUUCUAAAGAAUAGGUCUCCGCAUACACCAGUCAGCUGUAACAUGCACGAGUUGCACGUGGAUUCAUUAAGAAAUUGUGUUUUAUACAACAUUAUGCAACAGGGGUUGUACAUAUGUCCCGAGACAAGUAGGGACAUCAUUUCCUUUUUAGAGGAUGAUUUUAGCAAUUCUGUAAAAAAAAUAUACCUACAAGUUUUGGUUCAUUAUACCAAAUUAAACGUUCAUCAAGUGUACGAAACCUAUUCAAGUAAUUUUGAUAAAAGGCCAAGUGGUACUAAGACGAACAUUGAUAAUUACUUUGAUUCUCUGAUUAAAGAGUUUGUAUUAAAGGCACAGCAAGAAGAAGCAUAUAACGUGAUAAAAGUCACCUCUGAAGAGGAAAUACAAGUGGUUCGUACUGCAUUGUUGAGUCCCUCUAUACGGUCUGGUUUUCAAACUUGUUUGAAUGACAUUAUGGGAUUCUCCUGCACUGCUGAAUGGAUCAAAGUUAAAAUUGAGAAGAUGCAAAUUUACACCCUUGAUAAUUUUAAACCACUGGCAGGUUUACGUGGGGCAUGUCUUAUAGAUGGUAUUCUAAUAUGCAAAGGUCAAUUGGCUGAAGUCCCAGGCACAAAAAACUUUGAAGCUGAUGCAGUAACACUCGCAGCACAUGAGUGUGCCCAUUAUUUGGGGCGAAUGAUGGAUGGAAAUUUUAACUGGUCAACUCCAUUCGGAAAUAUUGCUGAAAGGCAACAAGACCUUGUAUUUCCAAGUAUAAACUUAGAAGCUGGAAGAACAAUGGAGCUGAUAAUUUUUGACAAGAUACAACCAGAUUGGCGCCAUUCAUCUGAAAAUUCCGCGAUACAGUUUUUAGAGAGACUAAAAGUUGUUGAAACGUGCCCAAUUCUCAGAGCAGAAGAACAUAACACACUUAAUUUAAAAAGUCGUAUUUGUUCGAUCGUAUCGUUUGGUAUUGAUAUUGAAAAUCAAUUUAUUGAUUUUUAUUAAGACUGAAGAACAUAUAAUUUAUUACGUAAAAUGUGUAAAAAGUCAGGGAAUUUUAUUAUUUUCUUUCAGGAAUUCUGUUUAGGAAAAUUUUGUAGUUUUAUUGGUCUUGGUAUUAUUUGGUCUAAUUAGUUUAUCGGGUGGUGUAAAACAAACAAAAUUAUUUCAUGCCAACUUUUCGUCAAGGGUGUAAAAUACAAAAUUAAUUUAUAAAUAUAAAAGAGGUGACAUAAAUUUACUUAUUAAAAAACAGUGUUGCUGCAAUGUUUGAACUUACCUAGAAAUGUUAUGUAUUUAAAGUUAAUAAAUGAAAUUAUUGAUAUUGUAAACAUUGGAGAGUAGUAUGUUGAUGGAGAGGUGAACCUAAUGUUUGUUAUAGUGUUGUAAAGUAGCAUGCUAUUUAUUUUAUGCUGAUAUAUAUCAAGAUAAAUAUUAUGAUACUUAUCUUUCAGUUUUUGUUAAAAAAAAGUCACAAAUUGCUAAUUUUUUAUUUUUCUGCAAUUGUCCCUUUAAUUUAAUACCAAAUACAUAGUAUAAAAUUAUAAAAUUACUAAAAAAUAGAUCAAUAUUAAUAUAUUACUUAUUUUAGUUAUUUUACUGAACACCUAGACUUGUUGAUAAUUGAAAUCUGGAUGGUGGAUCGUAUGAUGGAUGCAAAUAAUUAAGAAAUUUUUGGAAAUAUUUGUUUUCCACCAAUGACAACGGUGAACAGGUAUCAAACAUUGCUCGUGCUAGUAAAAUAUUAGCUUUGAUGUUUUCCUCUUUUGUCAUCUUGUCUAAAAAAUUUCCAAUGCUUAUUGCUGAUGCUGAUGCAUACUAGUACUACUAGCAAUGCUAGAUGUUACCUGUACCUGUCAAUAUUUAUAAUUAUUAAUACGUUGUAAGUUGACACUGUGAUGAUUCUUACCUUUUUACAGUUUUUUUGUGUAUUUUUCAAAUUUUUUUCAAACAAACUUUUUACUUCGGCAGGUGCUUGACAGUGGUUUUCCAUCCCUAGUGGAUUUGCAAUAAAAGUUUUUUUUACAAAAUAUAAAUAUAUUUAUCCUUUUUGUAUCUUCUAAAAUAUUUCCACACUAUGUGCUUGUGACGUCCCAUGCUUUUAUCACUAUGCACUCUAAUGUAUGUGUUCUAAAUUAUUGCAUCAACAAAAGCCGAUUAAUUAAGAUGGAAAAAACUGAUAAACUUUCAAAAAUAUAUUUUAUAUUUGUUUCCUUAUUUUCCCUUUGACAGAUUAGUUUAGUAAACGUAUCAUGUAUCAGCAUCAUAAGUAUCAGACUCACAUCACUAGUUUGUUAUAAAUUUGUAUUUACAAAUUAUACAUUUUUAUGCCUUUGUUUAUUUUUAACUUUCCCGAUAGGGAAGUUAAUACUUAUAUCAAUUAUAUCGCAUUUAUAUCGUUUUGCAUUAAACUUUAUUAUAAAAAUA